Molecule: long non-coding RNA, 7417 nt
Filed under: Triticum aestivum (bread wheat)
Lineage: Eukaryota; Viridiplantae; Streptophyta; Magnoliopsida; Poales; Poaceae
Description: long non-coding RNA (TAES_LNC020958)
Source: RNAcentral
UGAGGUUUUGCCACCCCAUGAUCCGGCAAGGAUCGGGUUGCGCACGGACGACAAAAGGGAGAUGGUUCGCCGCCUAGUUCAUCGCAGAUUAUCGUCGGCGGCGGUCAAGCCUUGGGAGGGUCCUCUACCAAAGGUUAGUUUGCCAAAUCUUACUGUUUUUUAUCUCGUUAGGCCAGAGUCGUGGAUCUCUGUGAUUCGUAAGAAGAAGGGGCGCCGGACGACGGCCAGAUCAUCGCCGGCGGCGCUGGCGUCUGUUUCGCCGAUCGUUCCGGGUCUCGGGAUCGCUGCGGAUCGUCAGCGCCGUUUGAAAAUCCUUGUUGGCCGUGAGGGGCUGACUGAGGCCGAAGUUGGGCUGUGUCCAGCCGGGCCGAGGUUAGCUGGGUAUGAGGCCCAGACUAACCCGGUGCCGAACCAGCUCGGGCUGGGAACUGAUCGGGACGUUGGUGUUGCGCGGAUCGGGCCGGUCUCGCCUGGGUAUGUGGCCCAGGGGGAUACGGUUUUGAUCGAGGCUCGGGGCGACGUUGCUUCGAUAGUUUGCACGUCCUCUCGUUCUGCGCCGUCGGCUAGGGUUCAGAGACGCCGGAGUCCAAACUUGCGAUCGGACGGGGCUGGACGAGCGCGUCGCAUUCCUCCGCUUGGCCUGAUGGCGGGCCGCGGAGGUGCGGUGCCGCCGGGCAAGAAGCCGGGGUCCGGCCGAGCGCAGGCUGCGCCGCCGGUGCUGGCCGUGGCGCCGUGCCAAGUUCUGCAACGUUGCCUGCGGGUAGCGGCCGAGGGGCGGGGCUGCCGGUCAACCAGGGGUCAGGCCGUGGGGUGCCUCCGCCGCAGGUGUUGCCUGCUGGCCGUGGUUCGGCGGUGGUGACGUCGGGCCGUGGUGGAGUCUCGGGUCCGAGACCGCCGGCCAAUGUUACUGCGGGGCUAAGGCCUCCGGCGCCGGCGGCGACCAGGAUGAUUCCGGCGGGCCGUGGUGGCGAGAUGCCACGGCCGACUGCGACUGGGCUUUUGAAUGCACAACACCCGAAGCCGGCCCCUCCACCUCACGUCGUUGCGAAGCCACAACAGAACAAAGUCGGGCCGGUGCAGAAGCAGCAACCGUCGUCGCCUCCGGCUUCUGCCAUGCCCAAGGGGCAGUGGGGUGAUGAUGGGUUCGAUGCGUACGGGGCUGGUAAGCACCGUGGGUCCUCGUCGACGGGCGGUGGUCAGGGCCACGCUUGGCAGAGCGAUGGCAUGGCGGAGCGUCCCUUCAUGGGGCCACCAGGAGGUUUCGUUGAGGAGCAGGUUCUGUUAGGACAAGCUAUGGAGGUGGUAUCCGCGCUUGCCUCGGCUGAGAUUCUAGGAUCGGAGCCCAGGUCAACUGGGAUAGUAGAGGUAACUGGCAUGUCUGACUCUGAGCGGGCGGCCAAGUGGGCGCGUAAGAAACAAAAUAUUUUGUGUUAUAGAUGUGGUGGAAAGGGUCACUUUAUUGCUAAGUGUGUUGCUGAGCUUUGUGGCGCUUGUGGAAAAUCAGCACACGACUCGGGGGAUUGUCCGUUUUUGAGAGAUCAGGCACCAGCACUCAUGAUGUAUGGAGUGUAUUGUGCUGAGCUUACUUUCUUUGAAUCUCCAACGGAGAUGGAGGUUCCUGACGAGACUUUGAGUUUAACGACUGGGUUAGUCAAAGUUGCCAGAGAAGAUGUCUCGGAGGCACAGAAUGUUCAGAGGCUCAAGGAGUUAGCUCCUGGGGAUUUCCGGUGGGAGCUUGUUAGCAUCAAGGACAAACUGUUUCGGGUUGAGUUUCUGUCAGUUGAGGAUCUUCAGAGACUUCUGAGCUUCGAAAUGUGCAAGGUGCCGGAUACUGAUGGUGUGCUUGAGUUUCACGAGUGGAAGAGGAUUGAGCCUACGGGCAAGCCGCUGACUCAGGUUUGGUUGCGGUACUCUGGGGCCCCUUCCAAGCCGAUGCAGGAUGCUCGGGUCGUGGCCAGUUUGGGUAUCAUGGUGGGCAGACCAGAGCGAGUGGAUAUGGACUUCACCAGAGCCCACGGCAUUGCCCGUAUACUGGUUAGUGUGCUGAACAUCGAGUAUGUGCCUGAGGUGGUAAAGUGGGCAUAUUGAGGCCACAUCUAUAACCUUGUCAUUGAGUUCGAGGAUAAGAGUCUGUUCGCUAAGGUGGCCAGCGGGAUGGAUACUGAUAUGCACGAGGGUGAUGAUGGCUCGGCUCUUAAGGAGGCACCAGCAGCUGACAGUGGACGAGAGUUGUCCACUGCGUCGGGUGCUGACUCUCAGAUGUCUGCGGAUGGUACGGCACCACCUUCUACCGUGCCUACGACUUCUCUCAGAUUCGGGUCUUUUGAUCCGGCAUCUGCGCCUCCGAGACUUUGGAGUGAUUGUGUGGAGUCUGAUGAGGUGUUUGAGCAUACGCUGCCGGUGCUGGAGUCUGAGGAGUAUGUGGUUCCUUUUUUGGGUGCGUUGCCGAUUUCGAUCAGGGAUGAGGCGGAGGAGACUGCUCUCGCUGGCGGGGGUCCGGAGAUGGUGAUUUCGGAUUCCUCCGCUGCGGUCGUGAUCUCUCAGGUUCAGCAGGCGAUGCCUUUGGAUGAAGGGGGCGUGGGGCAGGAGGCCUCCGCGCUCUAAUCGGGGCUUCCGGAGGACGGGUUCCUCACGGUGUUGCUUGACUCUUCGGGAGGGGGGCCGAGGCUGCCGGCCACGGCUCCUUCCUCCCCUUUUGCCGGGCCGGUUUCGCUGGCGCCGGCAUUGCUUUCCGGAGAGGGCUCGGGGUAGGUGGCCUCGGGGCUCUCUCCUACGGGGGCGCCUAGGGAGGCCUGCUGGCCUUCAGCGCCGGUGACGCUGGCUGGUCGUUGGGCCGGGAUGGAUGGGGAGCUCGGGCAGGAGGCCCUGGUUCCACCUUCCCCCGGUUUGGAGUUCUCCUGUGCAGCUACUCGGGAGGAGGUGAUUGCGUUCAGGGGUAUUCCGGAUCCGGUCUCUAAGGGGUGAGGGUUGAGUAACCGUCUCCAGGACCAUCCGGAAGUGGACGACAUUCAGCAGCGGUGCGCUAUGAGGGCGGCCAAGCUUCGUGACAUAGAGGUCACUACUGGUAUGUCGGUCAAUACCUCUAAUUCUAUUUUGCAUUUUUCCAAUGAUGAGAUUAUCAAUAAUGCAAACCAGCUAGGAAUUUUCACUAGGUAGUAAUGAUAGUGAAAUCUCAACCUCGGUUAAUGAUAUGCUGGAUUUAGAGGCCGAACGGGCGCUUGAGAUGAUUCGUAACUUAGCUGCGGUCAAACCCAUGAAUGAUUUAGAUAUCGACGCUUUAGGGGUCAGGGCGCUCGAUAAUCUUUGUGCGGAUCUGGCUCAACCAUCUCCUGAGCCUGAGGAGGAGGAUGAGCGAGUAGACAUUGUGGAUUUGCAUACCUCUGCGACUGGUUGUGAGGACCAGCUGGAGAGUUUCAAUGCUCAUAAACGCAAAUGGAAGCGGAAGAUUUACCCGGAUUCCGCAAUGCGGAGGAGUGCUCGGAUACGGACGGCUAAAAAAUUCCAUGAUGAGGUAUGAAAGGAAUCUUUUGGAAUAAUAGAGGUCUGAAAGACUUGGCUAAAAGAAGGUUUCUUGCUGAGGCUUCUAUUGAGCAUAAGUUGGACUUUAUUGCUUUGUCGGAAAUGGGUAGAGCCAAGUUCUCGCCACAAUUUCUAAAUACUCUUUCGGGGGGUAUUGAUUUCGAUUGGCAUUGUCUACCUCCGCGAGGAAGAUCGGGUGGGAUUUUACUCGAAGUUAGAUGUGAUUCGUUAGAAGUCCGAAGCAUGGUCAUGGAAGAUUUUGCUGUUAAGUUUAGGGUGAGGUCGAAGGCAGAUGGGUUUAACUGGGCUUUGGUAGCGGUAUAUGGUGCCGCUCAGCCCGAGCUCAAACCGGAUUUCUUGGCUGAUCUGGUUAGGAUUUGUGGUUCCGAACAACUUCCUAUCCUGGUGGGGGUGAUUUUAAUAUCAUCAGGAGGAGUGAUGAGAAGAAUAAUGACAAUUUUGACGGCCGAUGGUCGUUCAUGUUUAACACAAUCAUUGAAAGCCUAGACCUGCAUGAGAUAGAGCUUUCAGGCCGAAAGUUUACCUGGGCUAACGCCUUGCCAAAUCCGACGUUUGAGAAGCUGGAUCGAAUCCUGGCUAGCGUCGAACGGGAGCAGAAAUUCCCAUUUGUUACGGUCCAGGCGCUUACUCGUGGUAUUUCUGAUCACACGCCUUUAUUUCUUGACUCUGGGGAGGCCACCCACUUGGGAAAUAAAAAUGUUUUUUCUUUCGAGCUUGCUUGGUUUGAGAGAGAAGGUUUCUUGGAUCUCGUAGCCAGAGAAUGGGCUAAGGAUGCAGGAGGUCGGUCUGCGCUCGAGCGCUGGCAGAAUAAAAUUAGGCAUUUGAGAAGCUUCCUACGUGGGUGGGCUAAGCAUCUCAGUGGAAUUUAUAAGGUUGAAAAGGAACAGCUCCUUGCGCUUAUUCAGUCCCUUGAUGUAAAGGCUGAAACCAUGAUCCUGCCAGACUCGGAGCUUCAUGCCAAGCUUGAUGCGGAGAUGAGGCUGAAAGAGCUCCUUCGCGAGGAAGAACUAAAGUGGGCGCUUCGGACUAAGGUCAGUAGAGUCGUUCAGGGGGACGCGAACACUCAAUUUUUUCACUUGAUCGUCAAUGGUAAGCAUAGAAAGAAGAGGAUCUUUCAGCUUGAACAAGACGAGGGAACGAUUCUUGGUCAGGAAAACUUAAAGCAAUAUAUUAUUGAGUAUUACAAGCAGCUGUUUGGGCCUCCAGAGGACAACUGUGUGUCGCUGGAUGAGUCGAGGAUUGAGGAUGUGCCUCAACUUACGGCUGUUGAGAAUGAUAUUUUAGUAGCUUCUUUCUCCGAGAAAGAGGUGUUUGAGGCAAUUUCUCAGAUGAAGAACAAUAAGGCUCCUGGACCGGAUGGUUUCCCGGCAGAGUUCUACAAGAAGUGUUGGCACAUUAUUAAAGGAGAUCCCUUGCCAUUGUUCAAUGAUUUAUUCUCUGGCCAGCUUCACCUUUUUCAGCUGAAUUUUGGAACGAUAACCUUACUUCCCAAGAAGACUGAGGCAGUGCGGAUUGAGCAAAUUCGGCCUAUCUGUCUUCUCAAUGUUAGUUUCAAAAAUUUUACCAAGGUCGGGACGAAUAGGCUCACACAGAUUGCGCAUACUGUGGUGCAACCUACUCAGUCUGCUUUCAUGCCGGACAGAAACAUCCUCGAAGGGGUUGUGGUCUUGCAUGAAACGAUCCAUGAAAUUCACAUGAAAAAACUUGAUGGCGUGGUUUUCAAGGUGGAUUUCGAGAAAGCGUACGACAAAGUCAAAUGGCCUUUCCUCCAACAGGCACUACGCAUGAAGGGUUUUGAUAAAGUUUGGAGACGACAAGUCGAAUCCUUCACGCAAAAAGGGAGUGUUGGAAUUAAAGUGAAUAACGAUAUAGGUCAUUAUUUCCAGACACAUAAGGGCCUGAGACAAGGUGAUCCAGUGUCUCAUAUUUUGUUCAACAUUGUCGUUGACAUGUUGGCAAUCCUGAUAGGUAGGGCAAAGGAGACCGGCCAGGUAGGUGGCUUGGUGCCUCAUCUAGUUGAUGGUGGUGUGUCCAUCCUGCAGUAUGCUGAUGAUACGAUCAUCUUUAUGGAGCAUGACUUGGCAAAAGCGAGAAAUAUGAAGCUGGUGUUGUGCCUGUUUGAGCAAUUGACCAGUUUGAAGAUUAACUUCCAUAAAAGCGAGUUGUUCUGUUUUGGGAGAGCCAAAGAGGAACAAGAUGCAUAUAAGCAAUUGUUUGGUUGUGAAUUGGGAGCACUUCCGUUCACUUACCUAGGUAUCCCCAUUCAUCAUCGUAAACUAACAAACAGCCAAUGGAAGUGUAUCGAGGAUCGAUUUGAGAAGAAACUGAGCUGCUGGAAGGGCAAACUCAUGUCGUAUGGAGGCCGGUUGAUUCUUAUUAAUUCGGUGCUCACGAGUCUGCCUAUGUUCCUUUUGUCCUUUUUUGAGGUACCAGUUGGAGUUAGGAAAAGGAUGGACUUCUAUCGGUCUCGUUCCUUCUGGCAGAGUGAUGAACUUAAGAGAAAGUACCGUUUAGCCAAAUGGGACGUCAUCUGCCGACCGAAGGGCCAAGGGGGUCUUGGUGUUGAAAAUCUUGAGGUCGAGAACAGAUGUCUUCUCAGUAAGUGGCUAUAUAAGUUAGCUGCUGAGACUGAAGCUACUUGGGCACAGAUUCUGCGUAACAAGUACCUCCACUCUAAGACUUUGUCGCAGGUGACAGUCAGACCGACUGAUUCGCCUUUCUGGAAAGGGCUAAUGAGAGUCAAAGCUACUUUCUUUAACAGAACAAAGUUUAUUGUUGGGGAUGGCAACAAUACUCGCUUCUGAGAGGAUACUUGGCUGGGGGAAGCGCCGUUGGCGCUUCAGUAUCCUUCGCUAUAUCGUAUCGUGCAGCUCGUGAUGCUCUGGUUGCAACGAGUUUGCAGUCUACUCCCCUUAAUAUUUAGUUUAGGAGGGUGCUUGUUGGAGACCGAUGGGAAGCCUGGCUUCAUCUGGUGAGUAGACUGAUGGAGGUUCAGCUUACGCAUCAGCCUGAUCAGUUGUGUUGGAAGCUUACUAGAUCUGGGGAAUUCACAGUCAAGUCGAUGUAUAUUGAUGUCAUCAAUUCUAGUGUGAUUCCUACUUCCAGACAUGUUUGGAAAGUUAAGGUUCUUCUGAAAAUCAAAGUGUUUAUGUGGUUUGUACAUAAACAAGUCAUCUUAACGAAAGAUAAUUUGGUUAAGCGAAACUGGACAGGAUCUACUAGGUGUAGUUUCUGUGAUCGGGAUAAAAAUAUCAAGCACCUCUCCUUUGAUUGCCCGUUGGCGAAGGUCUUAUGGCGUUCGGUGCAAGUUGCCUUUAACAUUACUCCUCCGAAUUCGGUCAGGUUGUUAUUUGGAACGUGGCUUGUUGGGAUAGAGUCCGAAACAACUAGACAAUUUCGCGUAGGAGUGUGUGCGUUGUUACGGGCAAUCUGGAACUGCAGAAAUGAUUUGGCUUUUAACAAAACAACAACUAUUCAUUUUUUGCAGGUUUUAUUCCGGGCUACUGCGCUAAUCCGUAUGUGGUCCUUACUCACUCCGACGGAGGCCAUAGAGCGUUUGGUUACUGGAUCUCUCCGGUGGGAGAUGAUAGCGCGGAUAUUUUCAACCGGUUUGCAUGGCGGUCAUGUAAUAGGAUAGGCGACUAGUUUACCUAUCUAUCUUAUGCCAGCCGGUUGUGGCUUUUGGGCCUUAUUUGCUUUUGUUGCUCUUUGUGAGCCAAUUUCUCUUUUUGGAGCAGACUGCAAGACUCUGUUGAACUUAUUUAUUUAUUUAUUAAUGUGGCCGUAUGCAUCUUUUUGAUGUAGAGGCCGGGGAGUCUCCCCUUUUCAAAAAAAAGCUUCUAAAAAAAUAUGUCAAGGCAAAUUUGCAGGGUGUUUU